RNAcentral lists this long non-coding RNA (2667 nucleotides) under Coffea arabica (coffee). Its description in RNAcentral is "long non-coding RNA (CARA_LNC000795)". Lineage: Eukaryota; Viridiplantae; Streptophyta; Magnoliopsida; Gentianales; Rubiaceae. The record is from RNAcentral.
UUUUUUUUUUUUUUUUUUUUGUAAAUAGGAAAAGGAAAAAAUGCCACGUGCCUAUAAGAUCAAGUUACAGAGAAUAUUUAACCAAAAAAAAAAUAAAAGAGAGAGAGAAUAAAAUAUGAGAAAACUGAAGUAUUGACUCGCUCAGAAUAAAAGAGUGAGAGUAGCCACUCGCUCGGAAGCGAUUGAGCAGCACCGGGCGAGUGGGAAUGGAAUGAAUAUGCAUGCAUCGGUACUGAGGCGUGCUAUGUUGGCCCGUUAACCGACACUUAGGGCUCCAUUCCGGCUUGGGCCCACUUAUCCUUAAUUCUCAAAUCUGCUCCUCAGUUCUCGCCCCCACAAUUUUGUGAACUCUACUUCCCCGUCAUUCCCUUUCGCUCACUUAACUAACAUCCAUCCUCCAAGCUUCUGUACUUGACGGGAGUAUCUAAUCUGAACCGACCCUGGAAUUUUUUUUUUAUUUUUUAUAAAUCUAACGGAGGUUUCGUAAUGUACUCGUUAAGAUAUAUUUCAGGUAUUAUAUUUUUAAAAAAUAAAUAAAUACAAGAGAAGAUUGAUAAGAUUAAAUAUGAAAAGUAUAUAAAUGUACGGGAGGAUAAUAAUUGUUAGUAUGUAAAGAGAUAAGGUAAUUAUGAAAACCUUGAUCGACCUAUCUGGCAGUUUGGAUUGUCUGACGCGGUAACUUAUAUGUGAAUAUUAGAUAUUUUAACGAAUAUUCUCAUGGUACCCGUUAGAAAAAUUCAAAAAGAAAAAACUAAAAAGAAUCCUUGAGUUUGAAUAGGCAAAACAAGAAACUAUUUUUCCCCCCACUAUUAUUGCAUAAUAAUUACCUAUUAGAAACUUUUUUUGAGUUGAAGUUGGAUGACAUUUAGGAGAUAAUAAAAGGUUAAGCACGUAAACCCCUUCCACGAAAUAGAUGCAUGUUUUUCCAUUUGUUUUUGGUAGAAUGUGAGAUGACAACUAUUUACCGAUUACUUCACAAACUGCGAAGCAAUUGAUGUACAAAAAUGAUAGUGAAGUGGAAAAAGAUGGAAACCAGAACCAUUUAUAGAAUUAUAUAGUCAGUACCAUGUCACUGACAACAGAAAAUAAAACGCACACUGUACUUGUUUAUCAUAAGAGAAGAAUACGAAUUUCCUUUCUUACUUUUUCUGCUCUGGGGAAAUGCUUAGAUCCGUGGGCCCCCGGCCUCUGAUAUCAAUGUCAAUUUACCCUUGACCCGCAACAAAUUUGAAGGACCAUCAUCCCCUGAACAUUUUUUAAUUUUUACAUUUCUCAUCGAAGUUUGUGCCGCAACGCCCUGCAUUACGCUUUGUCCCCCCCGGCCUGCAGUCAACCCAAGUCCAUUUCCAUUGUCAAAGCUCAAAACCAUCCAUCUGGCGAAUAUUCAGAUACCAAAAAGACAACUAUGUCCUCGUUGUUAUGAUGUUGUCCAAUAACCAUUUGUCAUUUCCCCUCGCUUAUCGCUGGUUUCCUCACUAUUGUAUUAAAUUUCUUUCCUAUUGUGAAAUAAAAAUUUUUCACAAUAACGUACUAAAGAAUAUCUUAUGAAACGAUUUAAUUAUCAUAAGAAAAUCAAAAGUUCGUAUUUGUUUAAUUUAUAUUUAUAUUAAGGAUUGGUGCAUCAUAAACAUUUUAUUAUUAACAAUUAAUGCGCACUAGUGCGUCAUCGAAAUUUUUUCAAUAAUUACUACACGAAAAGAAUUUAUUAAGGAAAAAUAGAAACUAUUUUAGAUUUUUUUUUUUUUUUACUAAACAUACACUCUCAUUUUGUAUAAUAAUUGUCGAUAGUUAAAUAUUUUAUGUAACUAUAUAACAAUAAGUAAAUUUGCCCAUCAAAACAAAGCAUUUACGAGAAAAUAACAGAAUAUGUUAAACCACAAAAAAGAAAUUCUUUGAUGCAUUGUUCUUAAAAUUUGUAUAUCAUAGUCGAUCGAUGGAGUAAUAAGAAAUCUAUGUACAAUAGGAAAAAAUAUGAAGAAGAAAGAGAGGAUUAUUUAAUAACGUCUAAUUAUGAUCAAAGGGCAAUUUGUAGGUUUUAUGAAUACAUGGGGUAAUUGACCACUUGAUCAUAAUUACAAGAGCGCAAUAUGUGAUAAAACCUGAUAAAAAAGUGAGAAUCAAUGUUUUUAUUUAUACAUUUUUGUUUUUGUUUUUAGUUUGCCAAAAAACACAUAAGAAUGCUGCAGAAAUGUGGAAAACCCUGAGAUAGAACUACUCUUUUUUUUUUUUUUCCCCAUGGCUGAAGAAAAUAGACCUUUUUUUUUUCCCUUGGGGAGAGAGAGAGAGAAGGGGGUUGGUUCUCCGGCAGGCAAGGCAAUACGACAGAAACGGAAGGUUCAUAUUAGGAUGCAAGUGCUGAGUGCUUUGUUUGAUGUUUCCUCAAUCAGGGUAGUUGCAUGUUCCAAUCUAAGCAGUAAUGACCGAUGACGACAGAAAAGAAAAAAAAGCAUCGGAAGGGGAUGGCAACCUUCAUCGUCAUCUCUUGGCAAAUAACGCAAAGGGGACAAGAAGAAAAAAAGAAACAAUCAUCCUGAUACACCCUGUCAGUAAACAAAACCAAAUAUGAAGAGAAAAGGCCUAAACAAUCAUCCUGAACUAUGCUCUACCUGUACGUAUCUACCACAUUAUGCAGUCAGUCAGUCAGUGUCAAAUUAGCCGUGAACUUCC